RNAcentral lists this ribosomal RNA (273 nucleotides) under Triticum aestivum (bread wheat). RNAcentral's name for it is "partial small subunit ribosomal RNA". Lineage: Eukaryota; Viridiplantae; Streptophyta; Magnoliopsida; Poales; Poaceae. The record is from RNAcentral.
AUGUUCUUGCCUUCGCGGCAACAUGCCGCUCUUGGCGCCCGGCUCUCUCCUCAUACCCAAACAAAUCUGCCUUCUGCACCAGAUUCCCACCUCUCCUCGUCCAAUUCAAUGUCUGUGUUCAAGCUCCUGAUCUCCCGUCUAACAAUGGUCAUUACGAGCUACGCACAUGUAAGGUCAUUGAUCCAAUCAACAGGAACAUUGCCCUUCGCUGCCAGAUUCCUCAAGAAAUUUAUCAGGAGAUGCAUUUUGCUGGCACUUCCUAUGGUCAACUAA